Molecule: ribosomal RNA, 449 nt
Filed under: uncultured bacterium
Lineage: Bacteria
Description: partial 16S ribosomal RNA
Rfam family: Bacterial small subunit ribosomal RNA
Source: RNAcentral
AACGAACGCUGGCGGCAGGCUUAACACAUGCAAGUCGAACGCCCACUUCGGUGGGAGUGGCAGACGGGUGAGUAACGCGUGGAAACAUACCUUUUGCUUCGGAAUAUUCCCGGGAAACCGGGAGCAAUACCGAAUGUGCCCUGAGGGGGAAAGAUUUAUCGGCAAAAGAUUGGUCCGCGUUAGAUUAGGUAGUGGGUGGGGUAAAGGCCUACCAAGCCUACGAUCUAUAGCUGGUCUGAGAGGAUGGUCAGCCACAUUGGGACGGAGACACGGCCCAAACUCCUACGGGAGGCAGCAGUGGUGAAUAUUGGACAAUGGGCGCAAGCCUGAUCCAGCAAUGCCGCGUGAAUGAUUAAGGCCUUAGGGUUGUAAAAUUCUUUCACCGGGGACGAUAAUGACGGUACCCGGAGAAGAAGCCCCGGCUAACUUCGUGCCAGCAGCCGCCGUAA